GGAACAUAGAGCAGCCCAUUCUCCUCGUUGCCGUAAUAAACUCUGCGGGAACGAAACGACUUGUGAGGAAUAAAAUUAGCAGCAGAACGUAAAUUCCGAGCCCUAAGUACGAUUUGCCCUUCUCGUACAACUUUGGCAUCGGGGACUGGAGACGAGCGCAUAAGCUUCGAGACGAAGUAGCGGAGAACUCCGAUGAGGACCAUGACCACGGAGAGCGGAAUCAGCACCCAAUCUCUGAUGGCCGUGUCCAGAACUAGAUCUUCCG
Molecule: unclassified non-coding RNA, 265 nt
Filed under: Hevea brasiliensis (rubber tree)
Lineage: Eukaryota; Viridiplantae; Streptophyta; Magnoliopsida; Malpighiales; Euphorbiaceae
Source: RNAcentral